AGUGGGAUAGCUGGAUCAAAUGGUGGUUUCAUUUCAAGUUUUAUAAGGAAUCUCCAUAUUGCUUUCCAUAUUAGCUGCACCAAUUUGCAGUCCCACAAGCAAU
RNAcentral lists this microRNA precursor (103 nucleotides) under Marmota monax (woodchuck). The record is from RNAcentral. Lineage: Eukaryota; Metazoa; Chordata; Mammalia; Rodentia; Sciuridae.